CGGGAAAGUAAGGUAAUCGCCGCUGUAAUGUUUUGUUGCAGGGGAGGAAAGUCUGGACUUUGCAGGAGAGGAUACCAGUGAAAGACUGGGGGUCGUAAGGCUACGGAAAGUGUAACAGAAAACAGCCCCGCUUUGAUAUUGUCUCUCUGUAGGCCAUCUCAAAGCUAGGAUGAAAAGCCGACUUGAAUGAGUUGGCCUUACCGGCAGAAAUGCCGGAUGUGACAAACCCUAUCCAAAGUAAGGCUAUGAAAUACACUAAGCAUAUGCCCGCGCUCCGUGGGCGCUUUUUGUAUAAAGCCGCCAGAGGCCUUUGGCGACAAAGGCCCUAGAGGAAUGAUUACCCGCCGCUUAAUACCGGCUGACAGAAUCCGGCUUACUACUUUCCCGGAUU
Molecule: RNase P RNA, 391 nt
Filed under: Simkania sp.
Lineage: Bacteria; Pseudomonadati; Chlamydiota; Chlamydiia; Parachlamydiales; Simkaniaceae
Description: Bacterial RNase P class A
Rfam family: Bacterial RNase P class A
About the family: Ribonuclease P (RNase P) is a ubiquitous endoribonuclease, found in archaea, bacteria and eukarya as well as chloroplasts and mitochondria. Its best characterised activity is the generation of mature 5'-ends of tRNAs by cleaving the 5'-leader elements of precursor-tRNAs.
Source: Rfam by way of RNAcentral